Molecule: unclassified non-coding RNA, 329 nt
Filed under: uncultured fungus
Lineage: Eukaryota; Fungi
Description: partial contains 5.8S ribosomal RNA and internal transcribed spacer 2
Rfam family: 5.8S ribosomal RNA (bases 1-126)
Source: RNAcentral
UGGCUCUCGCAACGAUGAAGAACGCAGCGAAAUGCGAUACGUAUCAUGAAUUGCAGAACUCUGAAUGAUAAAUGUUUGAACGCACAUUGCGCCAGCCCUUUGGUUGGCAUGUCUGUCUGAGAAUCUUCAAGUUUCUCUCUUGGAAAGCAAUUUGCUUUUUUUUUGAGGCCCUUGACAGUCCUACAAUGCGCUAGGCUGUUGAAAUUUAAACGUAUUGUCUCGCAGCCAUGAGGGGUUGGGGGUGAUUUUGACCAAAUCAAUUUUACCCGCUUGCCCUUAAUUCAGGCUAAGCAUACUUUGGUCUCAGAUCAGACAGGAGGACCCGCUGA